AGUGAACGCUGGCGGUAGGCCUAACACAUGCAAGUCGAACGGCAGCACAGUAAGAGCUCGCUCUUACGGGUGGCGAGUGGCGGACGGGUGAGGAAUACAUCGGAAUCUACUUUUUCGUGGGGGAUAACGUAGGGAAACUUACGCCAAUACCGCAUACGACCUACGGGUGAAAGCAGGGGAUCUUCGGACCUUGCGCGAUCGAAUGAGCCGAUGUCGGAUUAGCUAGUUGGCGGGGUAAAGGCCCACCAAGGCGACGAUCCGUAGCUGGUCAGAGAGGAUGAUCAGCCACACUGGAACUGAGACACGGUCCAGACUCCUACGGGAGGCAGCAGUGGGGAAUAUUGGACAAUGGGCGCAAGCCUGAUCCAGCCAUACCGCGUGGGUGAAGAAGGCCUUCGGGUUGUAAAGCCCUUUUGUUGGGAAAGAAAAGCAGCAGGUUAAUACCCCGCUGUUCUGACGGUACCCAAAGAAUAAGCACCGGCUAACUUCGUG
RNAcentral lists this ribosomal RNA (492 nucleotides) under uncultured bacterium. Its description in RNAcentral is "partial 16S ribosomal RNA". It matches the Rfam family "Bacterial small subunit ribosomal RNA", at positions 29 to 507 of the family's 1533-position model. The record is from RNAcentral.